RNAcentral lists this long non-coding RNA (843 nucleotides) under Cyanistes caeruleus (blue tit). Its description in RNAcentral is "lncRNA (ENSCCEG00000008882.1)". Lineage: Eukaryota; Metazoa; Chordata; Aves; Passeriformes; Paridae. The record is from RNAcentral.
CUUUAACACUGUAUAUAAUACAUAUGCAUGUAUAUAUAUAUAUAUAUAUAUAUAUAUACACACACAUAUUAUCAUGCACAAUGUGUACUCUCUCCUGCAGGUUAGUAGAUGAAGGUCCUUCCUUGGGAUGGAUUUCCACAUCUGCCUCUGAGCUGGAAAUAAUGUUAUCACUCUGGGAAGCAAAAGCCAUCAUUUGAGGGUUUAUAGGAAGCUGUGUGUACUGUCCUUCCAACCUCAGCUUGCAGCUGGCACACCUGGCUGAAAUUUCUGGAGCAGGCAGCAUUCAUCUGGUGAGUGCUCCUCAGCAUUGUCUCAUUGUCUCUGCUUCCUCCAUCCUCUUAUGAACCCAAGGUGAAGGAGCUUCCCAUGGGGUUGUGCUUCCCUCUCUGCCCUGCUUCAGCUGGAGAAGUGUCUUCCCCUCUCCUGAAGCACAGCAGUGACGAUCCAGUCACCAGAUGGCCAUUGUGUAAAUGGGAAUGAGAAUUUUUAUCCAGAUGGAAGAUGGAAGAUUGAUCACCUUCUCAGGAUAACAGGAUGCCCAGCACAGGACCCCUUCUGUGAGAAAAAGCUUCCUAUAGCCACAGCAGCUACAAAUAUAACCCUGCAGAAAACUGAAAAGCAGCUCUGUGUUGAGGACUUUCCUGUAAGAAGUUUACUACAGUGUGUCAGAGCUCGUAGAGCUCUGCAGAGAGCCUUCAUGAAUCCGUUUGGUGGAACUUCUGAACUGGGAGUAUUCACAACUGAAACCCAGGGAAAUUGGAAUGCUUUAGAUGCCAAAACAUGUUUACUGAAGGCAACACUGACUCUCUUACAAGGCUCUGCAGAAAUCUGCCAGUUGAAAAA